GGCUAUAGAGGCUACCAUCUAUGAAUGUGCCACUCUGCAGAGCAUAUUCUAUGAUCCUGUACCUGCAGCAGCUUCAGCAAGGCUGGGCCUGCCUCUUACCCCUUCGUGGCCAGAGGGCAGCUGCUGAUGUAAUGAGCUUUCCAGUCUACUAGCAGUGCAAAGCAUGCUGGGAAGGCCUACAAGGCCUUUGGUGGACUCUCUGCUUCCAGCUUCCAGUUUCAAUAAUGGACACCUUGCCUGGCUUAUUUGUGUGUUUCUUGGAUUGGCUGACUGAAACAGAGGUUCUGAUCAUCCAUUAGGGGUGUGCACAGAACUGGCCGGUCUGGUCCGGUUCGAGUCUGAACUGGACCGGGCCUGUUUGGUCUGGGUCCCGAACGGGCCUGUUUGGGCAACCUCCAUGGACCUCCCCCCUCCCCCGCCACCUCGAGCAACUCCCCCAGAGGGGGUGAACCAAAGAGAGACAAAAGCCCUAAACGUGUCUCACUAAAAUGAUGGGGAAAUUUCAGCUGCUGUGAGGAAGCAGUUCCUUAAUAUAAAGCAGCAAAUAUGGAUCUGUUUCAAAAGAACAAACUCUCAUUCAAAAGUGCCAUGCCUCAAUAUUAUGCACAUGGAUAAAAUAUUAUGGAUCAACAACGUCAGCAACAUUCAAGGUUGCGCCAGGAUAUACCUUCAAAUGCUAGAAAGCACAAAUAUUAUAGGUUGGUUUGAGCAAUACUUUUCCAGCCCCCAUGAUUAAAAGGGGAACUAGUUUAAACAAGCAGCUGGAAUAUGUGUAGAGGAAGCAGUUCAGAUUAUCUGUUUCCCACCGCGCACACACAUAUAAACACACAAUAAAGGACUGCACAAGGAGAGUGUCAGGACAUCCGUGAAAGCUGUCACAAUGAUUGUGCUCUCAGUAUGCCCCUCUUUUAGUUUGGGAUGGGGAGGAGUAUUAUCCAAACCAGCCCAAAUCUUUCAGUUUCUUUUUCAUCUC
Molecule: long non-coding RNA, 973 nt
Organism: Hemicordylus capensis (graceful crag lizard)
Lineage: Eukaryota; Metazoa; Chordata; Lepidosauria; Squamata; Cordylidae
Exons: 3
Source: RefSeq, a predicted model, not a curated record